This 213-nucleotide unclassified non-coding RNA is filed under the name uncultured Tomentellopsis. Its description in RNAcentral is "sequence contains ITS1". Lineage: Eukaryota; Fungi; Basidiomycota; Agaricomycetes; Thelephorales; Thelephoraceae. The record is from RNAcentral.
AUGAAAUGUUUGCCGUGAAGGGUUGUAGCUGGCCCCCCUGGGGCGCACGUGCACGCCCGGAUCGCAUCCACCUCCAACACCUGUGCACAGCCUGUAGCCUGGGAUGAUCACGAGGCCCUUGUCGGUCGCGAAUGCCCUCGUCUACGAGUAUUUUACACACACCAGUAGUCACAUGGAAUGUACACACGAAGCGUCUAACAAGCGCGACGAAUA